GUGAAUCAUCGAAUCUUUGAACGCACAUUGCGCCCCUUGGUAUUCCAUGGGGCAUGCCUGUUCGAGCGUCAUUUGAACCCUCAAGCUCUGCUUGGUGUUGGGCGUUUGUCCCGCGUUUGCGCGUGGACUCGCCUUAAAGCAAUUGGCAGCCAUGUAAUUCGGCUUUGAGCGCAGCACAAUGCGUACUCUCCGCUGGUACAUUGGCAUCCAGAAGCCCAUUUUUUACUCUUGACCUCGGAUCAGGUAGGGAUACCCGCUGAACUUAAGCAUAUCAAUAAGCGGAGGA
Molecule: unclassified non-coding RNA, 286 nt
Filed under: Pleosporales sp.
Lineage: Eukaryota; Fungi; Ascomycota; Dothideomycetes; Pleosporales
Description: partial contains 5.8S ribosomal RNA, internal transcribed spacer 2, and large subunit ribosomal RNA
Rfam family: 5.8S ribosomal RNA (bases 1-71)
Source: RNAcentral